Molecule: ribosomal RNA, 2478 nt
Filed under: Klebsiella michiganensis
Lineage: Bacteria; Pseudomonadati; Pseudomonadota; Gammaproteobacteria; Enterobacterales; Enterobacteriaceae
Description: partial 23S ribosomal RNA
Rfam family: Bacterial large subunit ribosomal RNA
Source: RNAcentral
UGUGAACUCGAAGAGUAGGGCGGGACACGUGGUAUCCUGUCUGAAUAUGGGGGGACCAUCCUCCAAGGCUAAAUACUCCUGACUGACCGAUAGUGAACCAGUACCGUGAGGGAAAGGCGAAAAGAACCCCGGCGAGGGGAGUGAAAAAGAACCUGAAACCGUGUACGUACAAGCAGUAGGAGCCCACUGGUUGGGUGACUGCGUACCUUUUGUAUAAUGGGUCAGCGACUUAUAUUCUGUAGCAAGGUUAACCGUAUAGGGGAGCCGCAGGGAAACCGAGUCUUAACUGGGCGUUAAGUUGCAGGGUAUAGACCCGAAACCCGGUGAUCUAGCCAUGGGCAGGUUGAAGGUUGGGUAACACUAACUGGAGGACCGAACCGACUAAUGUUGAAAAAUUAGCGGAUGACUUGUGGCUGGGGGUGAAAGGCCAAUCAAACCGGGAGAUAGCUGGUUCUCCCCGAAAGCUAUUUAGGUAGCGCCUCGUGAAUUCAUCUUCGGGGGUAGAGCACUGUUUCGGCUAGGGGGUCAUCCCGACUUACCAACCCGAUGCAAACUACGAAUACCGAAGAAUGUUAUCACGGGAGACACACGGCGGGUGCUAACGUCCGUCGUGAAGAGGGAAACAACCCAGACCGCCAGCUAAGGUCCCAAAGUCAUGGUUAAGUGGGAAACGAUGUGGGAAGGCCCAGACAGCCAGGAUGUUGGCUUAGAAGCAGCCAUCAUUUAAAGAAAGCGUAAUAGCUCACUGGUCGAGUCGGCCUGCGCGGAAGAUGUAACGGGGCUAAACCAUGCACCGAAGCUGCGGCAGCGACACUAUGUGUUGUUGGGUAGGGGAGCGUUCUGUAAGCCGUUGAAGGUGGCCUGUGAGGGUUGCUGGAGGUAUCAGAAGUGCGAAUGCUGACAUAAGUAACGAUAAUGCGGGUGAAAAACCCGCACGCCGGAAGACCAAGGGUUCCUGUCCAACGUUAAUCGGGGCAGGGUGAGUCGACCCCUAAGGCGAGGCCGAAAGGCGUAGUCGAUGGGAAACAGGUUAAUAUUCCUGUACUCGGUGUUACUGCGAAGGGGGGACGGAGAAGGCUAUGUUGGCCGGGCGACGGUUGUCCCGGUUUAAGCAUGUAGGCGGAUGUUCCAGGUAAAUCCGGAACGUCACUAACGCUGAGGUGUGAUGACGAGGCACUACGGUGCUGAAGUGACAAAUGCCCUGCUUCCAGGAAAAGCCUCUAAGCAUCAGGUAACAUCAAAUCGUACCCCAAACCGACACAGGUGGUCAGGUAGAGAAUACCAAGGCGCUUGAGAGAACUCGGGUGAAGGAACUAGGCAAAAUGGUGCCGUAACUUCGGGAGAAGGCACGCUGAUGGUAACAGCACUGUGCAAACACGAAAGUGGACGUAUACGGUGUGACGCCUGCCCGGUGCCGGAAGGUUAAUUGAUGGGGUUAUCCUCGCGGAGAAGCUCUUGAUCGAAGCCCCGGUAAACGGCGGCCGUAACUAUAACGGUCCUAAGGUAGCGAAAUUCCUUGUCGGGUAAGUUCCGACCUGCACGAAUGGCGUAAUGAUGGCCAGGCUGUCUCCACCCGAGACUCAGUGAAAUUGAACUCGCUGUGAAGAUGCAGUGUACCCGCGGCAAGACGGAAAGACCCCGUGAACCUUUACUAUAGCUUGACACUGAACACUGGUCCUUGAUGUGUAGGAUAGGUGGGAGGCUUUGAAGUGUGGACGCCAGUCUGCAUGGAGCCAUCCUUGAAAUACCACCCUUUAAUGGCUGGUGUUCUAACGUGGGCCCGUAAUCCGGGUUGCGGACAGUGUCUGGUGGGUAGUUUGACUGGGGCGGUCUCCUCCUAAAGAGUAACGGAGGAGCACGAAGGUCAGCUAAUCCUGGUCGGACAUCAGGAGGUUAGUGCAAUGGCAUAAGCUGGCUUGACUGCGAGCGUGACGGCGCGAGCAGGUGCGAAAGCAGGUCAUAGUGAUCCGGUGGUUCUGAAUGGAAGGGCCAUCGCUCAACGGAUAAAAGGUACUCCGGGGAUAACAGGCUGAUACCGCCCAAGAGUUCAUAUCGACGGCGGUGUUUGGCACCUCGAUGUCGGCUCAUCACAUCCUGGGGCUGAAGUAGGUCCCAAGGGUAUGGCUGUUCGCCAUUUAAAGUGGUACGCGAGCUGGGUUUAGAACGUCGUGAGACAGUUCGGUCCCUAUCUGCCGUGGGCGCUGGAGAAUUGAGGGGGGCUGCUCCUAGUACGAGAGGACCGGAGUGGACGCAUCACUGGUGUUCGGGUUGUCAUGCCAAUGGCAUUGCCCGGUAGCUAAAUGCGGAAGAGAUAAGUGCUGAAAGCAUCUAAGCACGAAACUUGCCCCGAGAUGAGUUCUCCCUGACCCUUUAAGGGUCCUGAAGGAACGUUGAAGACGACGACGUUGAUAGGCCGGGUGUGUAAGCGCAGCGAUGCGUUGAGCUAACCGGUACUAAUGAACCGUGAGGCUUAACCUU